This 68-nucleotide transfer RNA is filed under the name Oreophryne sp. TNHC-GDC 18615. RNAcentral describes it as "tRNA-His". It matches the Rfam family "tRNA". Rfam says of the family: Transfer RNA (tRNA) molecules are approximately 80 nucleotides in length. Their secondary structure includes four short double-helical elements and three loops (D, anti-codon, and T loops). The record is from RNAcentral. Lineage: Eukaryota; Metazoa; Chordata; Amphibia; Anura; Microhylidae.
GUGAACAUAGUUUAACCAAAACCCUAGGCUGUGACUCUAGAAAUGAAGACUAACCUCUUCUGUUCACC